RNAcentral lists this ribosomal RNA (367 nucleotides) under uncultured bacterium. RNAcentral describes it as "bacterial SSU rRNA". It matches the Rfam family "Bacterial small subunit ribosomal RNA", at positions 1116 to 1482 of the family's 1533-position model. The record is from RNAcentral.
UGCCAUCGGUUCGGCCGGGCACUCUGAAGGAACUGCCGGUGACAAGCCGGAGGAAGGUGGGGAUGACGUCAAGUCCUCAUGGCCCUUAUGGGCUGGGCUACACACGUGCUACAAUGGCGGUGACAGAGGGCAGCGAAGCCGUGAGGCAGAGCAAAUCCCUAAAAACCGUCUCAGUUCGGAUUGCACUCUGCAACUCGAGUGCAUGAAGGUGGAAUCGCUAGUAAUCGCGGAACAGCAUGCCGCGGUGAAUACGUUCCCGGGCCUUGUACACACCGCCCGUCACACCAUGGGAGUUGGUUUGACCCGAAGCCGGUGCGCUAACCCGCAAGGGGGGCAGCCGACCACGGUCAGGUCAGCGACUGGGGUG